AGAAUCAAACCACGCAGCCCUCUUUCAGAAAAGUAUUUAAGCAUGUGUGAGCCCUGUGGGGAGCACCUGCUUUGUGCACAGGUGAAAUGCAUUGCUGAUUGAUGGUGGAGUUAAAACACAGGUCUCAAAUUAAAUAUGUGCCUAAUUUUAAGCAGGUGAGUGAGCUGGCCAAACUCCCUGGGACUACUCAGCUGCUUUAAGUUAACCUUAAGUUUUGAGUGCUUUGCUGCACCAGGGUCUACACUGCAGAACUAGGAAUCUGCCAUGGAUCUCUCACUGUCUAGUAAUUAUUUGUUAAUAUAAAAGUUAGCAAGUCAUAGGUUGAGCCUGUCAGCCCUGACAGGAAGCUGUUAAAUCCUUCAUGUGCUAGUGGUUUGGUUUUAGAUUAUUGAAGCAAAUCACCAGGUUCUCCUUGAACAUAAACAAUGUUUCUUUCCCCAUAACUUUCAGUUUUCAAAGUAAAUGCAGAAUGUAUGAUUUUCAUAUCCUGUCUCCUGUUUUAUAUUUGUAUCUUCCUUUUGACAGAUCAAAGCAUUCACUUUCUCUAUAAUAUGUAUUCACCACACACAUGCAUAUAUAUAUAUAUAUAUGUAUAUAUAUACAUGUGCAAUUACUCACAGAAGAAGUGAGAAAUAUAAUUUCCAUGUGAUGUAAAUGAGCAUAAGGUGAAAGCUCUCACAGAGCUGUGCUUAUUUACACCACCUGCAGGUUUGACCCUUCACCUUUAAUAUCUGGCAAGUUGAAGUAGAAAAACUGCAGCAGUUUCUGAAAACUUUGAAGACCAAACUGUGCUCUGGUUUUUCAACUGGAACUUCCCUGAGUGUACUUAAAAUAGGGAAUAAUGUGUGACCCCAAAUAUCCCAACUCCUCUGGAAUGUUUACAUUGCAAAGGUGAUUGAACAUGAAAUGUACCUUCCUUUUAUUGUGCUCUUUUGAUGAUGAGCUUUCACAAAAGUGACAUCUGUGGCACAGCACUUCUAGCCUGUCUUGUUCUACCAACCCAUUAGUUUAGAAAUUACUUUCUUACCAAAAUGUGACUCAGUUUCUUCUAUUUGCUUGCAAUCCAUGGGCAAUCUGCUUUCAAUCUGAAGAAUGCAUUGCUCUUAUUUCUUAGUAUAUCAUGUUUUCCUGUUGCAAUGGAAAAAAAAAAAAAGAGUAAUUGUGCUUUUUAAUUUCAGAGUUGAAACUUGAUAGAAUGUUUUUAUGCUGAGUUACAACUACAUGUGUGCAAUACUUGUCUUGCAAAGUGAAGUUCCCAAUAUCUGCCUUGCUUUGAUAACCAUUGCUACAUUGUAGGUGAAGUCUCAGCAAAACAAUUCACUUUUUCUUAGUCUGCUCAUAGAAUAAACCACUUGAACCUGGGUUCUCACCUGUGUAAAUCAGCUUCCCUCCAGGGAAUGGGUCAAGCAUACUGAGUUUCAGCAGGUGAAGGUUUAGCUCUUAAUAUUGGGCUCAAGAGCACUCCUUUCUAUAAACUGGGGUGGCUCUGAAAAGGAAAAUGUCUCAAAAAUUAACCUAAAAGAGGAACUUUAUUACAAUUUUGAGCAUGUAACAUGGAUUACAGUUUAAACUUUAUGCUGAGAUUGCUUAAAGAAAGAAAAUUCUUCCUAAAAUCUUUUAAAAUUUUGGAAUAGCUCUCUUCUGAGCUUAAAGCUGUUGGGUUGGUGACAAGUGGAGCAUUUGGAGGAAAUCAAUGUUAGUGGGGUGGUACAGAAACCACAGUGUUCAGACCUUGUUAUUUUAUUUUAUUUUGCUUUACUGACUUGAACUUACAUUGUGAGCAGCUAAAGAGUGACAUAAAUCUAAACACAACACAUUUGGGGGACCCUGUUGGAAAUUUCUCAGAGAAACCACAUCCUUUGGCAUCAUCCUGGGAAAGGCAAGGAGAAAGUCAGAAGAAAACUCUGAAGAAAGGCAAAAUUAAAGGAUGGUUACAACUCAUGUUUAGUAAAGCUGUAUUACUUGUAUGGGAAGCCUCAAUUCCAUCAUACAAGCAGUUGCCUCAGCUAAUUAUUAUUUUUCUUAAUUUUUAGGAAACAAAUAAAAACAGCAUUUGUUCUACCAGAAA
Non-coding RNA from Agelaius phoeniceus (red-winged blackbird), 2068 nucleotides. The record is from RefSeq and is a predicted model, not a curated record. NCBI's taxonomy places the organism in Eukaryota, Metazoa, Chordata, Aves, Passeriformes, Icteridae.